RNAcentral lists this long non-coding RNA (764 nucleotides) under Anas platyrhynchos platyrhynchos (common mallard). RNAcentral describes it as "lncRNA (ENSAPLG00000025641.1)". Lineage: Eukaryota; Metazoa; Chordata; Aves; Anseriformes; Anatidae. The record is from RNAcentral.
CCCCUCUCCUCCUUUCCCUCCCCAGCUUGCCAUGAAGGGCCCCCCCGGCCCCAUGGGGCUCACCGGCCGCCCGGGUCCUCUGGUGAGUGCUGCUGGCGUGGGGGCUGCUGCGGGACCCCCUUGGGGUGCCCACCUUGCACCGGGGUCUUUGGGCACCCCAGCAGACCCCCAGUGGCGGGGGCUCCACGCUCUCCGUUUUUUUUUAGGGUCUGCCAGGGCACCCGGGCCUGAAAGGGGACGCAGGGGACAUGGGGCCGCGGGUGAGUCUCGUAAGGUUGGGGGGCGGGGGCCGUUGGAAGCCUUCCUCUCCCCUCACCCCUCUUCUUCCUCUCCAUCAGGGUCCCCGGGGACUGCAGGGACCCCCGGGACCACCGGGGAAGCUGGGCAGACGGGGUCGCGCUGGAGCAGACGGUGCCAGGGGACUCCCGGGGGACACCGGACCCAAGGGUGACCGGGGCUUCGAUGGUUUGCCGGGGCUACCGGGGGAGAAAGGCCACAGGGUAAGUGCCACCGCGCCGCGUCCCCUCCUGCCACCACCCGUCCCCGUGUCCCCUCACCUCCUCUCCGUCCCCUAGGGUGACGUGGGGAAGCCAGGACCUGCGGGCACCCCCGGGGAGAAAGGAGCCAGGGUGAGGAGCCUGAGGGGGGGGGGUCCGGGGAAGGAUCAGGCCCUGGUGGCGUGGGGGGGACACGCUCAGCUCCUCUCUGUCCCUCCCAGGGCUCCGACGGCUUGCCGGGACCGCGGGGACAACCGGGGGAACCCG